AGAGUUUGAUCCUGGCUCAGAGCGAACGCUGGCGGCAGGCUUAACACAUGCAAGUCGAACGCAUCCUUCGGGGUGAGUGGCAGACGGGUGAGUAACACGUGGGAACGUACCCUUCGAUCUGGGAUAACUUCGGGAAACUGGAGCUAAUACCGGAUACGCCCUUUGGGGGAAAGGUUUACUGUCGAAGGAUCGGCCCGCGUCUGAUUAGCUAGUUGGUGGGGUAACGGCCUACCAAGGCGACGAUCAGUAGCUGGUCUGAGAGGAUGAUCAGCCACACUGGGACUGAGACACGGCCCAGACUCCUACGGGAGGCAGCAGUGGGGAAUAUUGGACAAUGGGCGCAAGCCUGAUCCAGCCAUGCCGCGUGAGUGAUGAAGGCCUUAGGGUUGUAAAGCUCUUUUGUCCGGGACGAUAAUGACGUACCUAAGAA
This 430-nucleotide ribosomal RNA is filed under the name Methylobacterium sp. ED325. RNAcentral describes it as "bacterial SSU rRNA". It matches the Rfam family "Bacterial small subunit ribosomal RNA", at positions 8 to 464 of the family's 1533-position model. The record is from RNAcentral. Lineage: Bacteria; Pseudomonadati; Pseudomonadota; Alphaproteobacteria; Hyphomicrobiales; Methylobacteriaceae.